Molecule: ribosomal RNA, 112 nt
Filed under: Pseudomonas aeruginosa
Lineage: Bacteria; Pseudomonadati; Pseudomonadota; Gammaproteobacteria; Pseudomonadales; Pseudomonadaceae
Description: partial 16S ribosomal RNA
Rfam family: Bacterial small subunit ribosomal RNA
Source: RNAcentral
GAACUGAAGAGUUUGAUCAUGGCUCAGAUUGAACGCUGGCGGCAGGCCUAACACAUGCAAGUCGAGCGGAUGAAGGGAGCUUGCUCCUGGAUUCAGCGGCGGACGGGUGAGU